This is a long non-coding RNA of Mus musculus (house mouse), 2059 nucleotides long. RefSeq annotates it as predicted gene, 38745. Lineage: Eukaryota; Metazoa; Chordata; Mammalia; Rodentia; Muridae. The record is from RefSeq and is a predicted model, not a curated record. The transcript is spliced from 2 exons.
GGAGGCCAACCUGGUCUACAAAAUGAGUUCCAGAACAGCCGGGGCUACACAGAGAAACCCUGUCUCAGGGGAAAAAGAAAGUCAUGAAUCUGUUACUGCUACGGAACAUGGUAUUUGGAAUAACUGAAAUCUGUCUUCCCAAGCCGUGGCCGCUCACAUUUGGCUCCAGGACAAACUCAUUCUUUCUGAGGCUAGAACUGCUUUUGCAUUAAGGGGUUUUGGUGGCUGAAUGUGGAGCCCCAAAGAUGAUCCAAUUUCGUAAUAGGAGUCACUGGAUUGUUGCCAGGCUGGGCCUCUAGUGCCAACUGUUUGGUGUUGAUUCCUCAGCGGAAUGCUGUUCCUGGGUAGAGUCCAGAAUGGUGGGAAAGUUAUGGUGGCGUGUUGAAAGAUCCUGCUAAUAAAGUUGUAGUUCCUCAUAACUCUUGGAGCUUGGCGCAAACUGGAAGACUCCCUUUCUCCUUGGGACUUCCUCUUCUCUGCCUCACUUUGUCUGGACAGCAUCUGUAGUCCCUAAGCGAUGUGCCACAAAAUCCAUCCACGUGGCGGCCAUCACCUCCUUCAUGCCCCAGCCUAUGGGCCGUGGUAAGAUGCCCCUGCAGGAGCUCCUAUCAAAAUGGCAGCACCAUGACACCUUCUCAGCCUGCAGCUGUCACUGGAGCUGUCCACGGUGGCCCAUCUCCCUUCCCACCUCAACGGGAGCUGCCCCUUAGAAGCUGUCCACAGUGGCAACACCUUUCCUGCCUCAGCCUACUGCCAGUAUGAGGAGCUGUCCAGGGUUCCGACAUCUUCUUUCCUGCCUCAGCCUAUACGAUUUUGGUGAAAUACCACUGCGGAAGCUGUCCCACAGGAACUGUCCUCAGUGGCAGCACCCCCUCUCCAGUCCCUCCCAGCAGCUCCACAGAGGUGGUGUCUCAGAGAAAGCCAGAUAUGGUCAGGAAGGACUUCCCACCCUAACCCAGAGACCUGAUGCAAGGAAAGGGGAGGGGGCGUGAAAAAAAGCCACCAAUCUCUGAGCAGAACAACCCCCCCCCCCAGCUUUCCACAAAAUCCCUCCAAUCCCUGAGCAAGAGAACACACCAGUCCUAGAAGAGGAAAACCCACCAAUCCUCACUCUGGAAAUCUCUGUCCUGAGAAGCUCCGCCUCCUCAGAAACCCUAUGUAAGCACUGUCCCUUGGUCAGGUCCCCGGCUAUCCUCUCCCAGCAACACAAGGCAACCGCAACCGUCCCUGGGCUCAUCCCUCCACAUCCUGGAACCUCCAAAAAAAUCUCUUUCAUGAGAGUUUUCUGCCUGGAGUGACUCUCUCAUUGGAAGAAGCCAGGAAGAAAAGAAGCAAUGAAGAGAAGUGAAGAGAAGGAGCAGGGUUGAGGCUCCUCAGCUCACCCAAGGAUACCCUUCCCCAAGAGCUGCAGCACCUCUGCUGAGGAGCCUUCCUCUCAGAGCUGUGUGGUUCCUGCGCUCCCGUGUCUCAGGUGCCCUUCUGCUGGCAUGCCUUUCCCCCUUGGAGCUGUGUGGGUCCUAGGAUACCCUCCCAUUCUAGCAGAAACAUUUACAAGGGUAACAUGGGAAGUCUUGGUGGGAGGAACAGGAAGAGGGGAAGUAAUGUAAUUAUAAUCUCCAAAAAGAAAAGAAGACAUACCUACCCUGCCAGGUUGUUCACAAAAGUGCACACCAUUUUUGUUCGUUUGCUCAGCACUUGGCCAUACCUGCUGGACCUUCAUGUAAGUCUGUUGGCUCACAGGCGAUUACACUAGAUUCCUCCCAGGGACCUAACAGUAGCUUAUGCCAUCACCUACUGCCAGGUCUGGGCUACGUAUAAAAGGACUACUCGACACCCCUGUUGUCUGUCUGUCUGUCUCUCUCUCUCUCUCUCUCUCUCUCUCUCUCUCUCUCUCUCUCUCUCCCUGUCCCCAAGUGUUCUUGGCUGGUCUCUCUCCCUAUUCCUGCCCUUCUUUGUCCCCCCUUCUCUACCCUCACGGCUCUGCUCCCAUCUGUCUGCCUCUACCCCUUUCUAGGUGCUCACCCCCUUCAAUUCCCCCAAAUAAACCUUCUUUAUAUCA